CUUUACAGUUUUAAAACAACAAAGGCACGGUAGCCGCUGGCGCUUUCCAUUGACCACAAAGGAUACAAUAUUUUGUAAACAUGGUGGAUACAUCACAUUGAUUAAGUGGAGCAGCCAUACAUUUCUGUUCUUCUAUAUGUGAAGUCCAAGUCCAGGAAUCUACUAGCUCAUCACCUGAAACUUAUCAAAACGGCAAAACUUAAAGGGACCAUAUUUAAGGUCUCUCAUGGAUUGCCUAAUCUUGUUGAGGAGAGCUGCUUGUGUAUGGUGGACUGCUUGUUCAUUGCUCCCGACCGAGGAGAAAACAGUAAAUUGUCCCAGAAAUGAUAUGUAAAUUGUGUUUUUCAUGCACUCAAAAUAACACUAUCAAGAGAUGUACAAAGAUGUGGACUAUAUUUAUAUUGAAAAGGAAUGAGACUCCAAUAGGCAUAUUUUAACAUAUAAUUGAUAAUAUACUCGUGUUUGAUCUCAAAUUGUAAAUUUUCAAUUAUAUUAAAUGGGCUAUAUAUGUUGACCAGAUAAGUUUAUUAAUACUGAAAAUUAAAGUAUAUUUAAUAAACAUUUUAAAGGUUA
Molecule: long non-coding RNA, 573 nt
Organism: Bombina bombina (fire-bellied toad)
Lineage: Eukaryota; Metazoa; Chordata; Amphibia; Anura; Bombinatoridae
Exons: 4
Source: RefSeq, a predicted model, not a curated record